GACGAACGCUGGCGGCGUGCUUAACACAUGCAAGUCGAACGAUGAGGAAAAGAAUUUAAGCUUCGGCAGAAAUUCAUUUCGGAUUAGUGGCAGACGGGUGAGUAACCCGUGAGCAACCUACCUCUUACAAAGGUAUAGCCUCUAGAAACUGGGAGUUAUACCAUAUAACAUUGCGACGAAGCAUUUCGGUGCAUUCAAAGCUACGGCGGUAAGAGAUGGUCUCGCGUCCCAUUAACCAGAUGGUGAGGUAACGGCUCACCAUAGUAACGAUGGGUAACCGGGAUGGGAGCGUGACAGGUCACACUGGAAAUGCGGCACAGUCCAGAAUCCUACGCGAGGGAGGAGUGGAGAAUACUGCACAAUGGAGCGAAAUCUGAUGCAGCCACGCGGCGUGAGUGAUGCAGCAAUUUGUAAACUAAUAUUCUCUUCUAUGGGAAGAAAAGGACGGUAACAGAGGAGAAAGCUCCGGCUAACUACGUG
This 480-nucleotide ribosomal RNA is filed under the name uncultured bacterium. RNAcentral's name for it is "partial 16S ribosomal RNA". It matches the Rfam family "Bacterial small subunit ribosomal RNA", at positions 28 to 507 of the family's 1533-position model. The record is from RNAcentral.